AUCCCUUCUUCCUGAGUCCGCCGCCGCCAGCCAUCCGACGGAGGCAACAAGCGCCGCCGCCAGUCGCGAGUCGACAAACGAACGGAGCAUGUCGACCGGGCGGCGGCCGCUCUCGCUCCUGCGGGACGCUCAUUUCGCUCCGGCAGGUCAUCUCGCCGCAGCCCCGCCUGCGAGGAGCUUCAACCUGCGCCACGCGGCCGCCGGCGCAGCGUCCACCUCAGGUUUUGCCGAACCUAAUAAUAACCGGCGAAUGUACGCUGCUUAAGAGGACGCGGGCCUUCAGUCGUGCGAUCGAUCCGCAACCCGGCCACACAUGUGUGCUCGCGAUGCGAUAAUACAAGCUGACAUGUGAGACGUCUAUUGGGUCGCCUUGAGCUCUGACCGCGCGUAGUGGAGUCCUACGUGUUUUGACGGUAAACUGUUAUUACGAAUUGAGUGGUAUUUCUCAAAUGGAACCGCUAGGAAUCAGACUACUGAUUCUUAGCUUCCCAUCAGACAAGUGUUCCACCGUACGAUUGGAUUCAUCUGGAACGUGCAAUCAGCCAGAAAAAAGGAGCUUCUUUAGUUUCCAUGUAAUGAUUUAUUAAUGGCGAUCUAUUUUGUAGUAA
This is a long non-coding RNA of Triticum aestivum (bread wheat), 608 nucleotides long. RefSeq lists it as uncharacterized. The transcript has 2 exons. The record is from RefSeq and is a predicted model, not a curated record. NCBI's taxonomy places the organism in Eukaryota, Viridiplantae, Streptophyta, Magnoliopsida, Poales, Poaceae.